AGUGAACGCUGGCGGUAGGCCUAACACAUGCAAGUCGAACGGCAGCACAGUAAGAGCUUGCUCUUACGGGUGGCGAGUGGCGGACGGGUGAGGAAUACAUCGGAAUCUACUUUUUCGUGGGGGAUAACGUAGGGAAACUUACGCUAAUACCGCAUACGACCUACGGGUGAAAGCAGGGGAGCUUCGGACCUUGCGCGAUUGAAUGAGCCGAUGUCGGAUUAGCUAGUUGGGGGGGUAAAGGCCCACCAAGGCGACGAUCCGUAGCUGGUCUGAGAGGAUGAUCAGCCACACUGGAACUGAGACACGGUCCAGACUCCUACGGGAGGCAGCAGUGGGGAAUAUUGGACAAUGGGCGCAAGCCUGAUCCAGCCAUACCGCGUGGGUGAAGAAGGCCUUCGGGUUGUAAAGCCCUUUUGUUGGGAAAGAGAAGCAGCAGGUUAAUACCCCGCUGUUCUGACGGUACCCAAAGAAUAAGCACCGGCUAACUUCGUG
Molecule: ribosomal RNA, 492 nt
Filed under: uncultured bacterium
Lineage: Bacteria
Description: partial 16S ribosomal RNA
Rfam family: Bacterial small subunit ribosomal RNA
Source: RNAcentral